GGGGAAUCUUGCGCAAUGGGCGAAAGCCUGACGCAGCAACGCCGCGUGGGGGACGAAGGCUCUCGGGUUGUAAACCCCUUUCAGCAGGAACGAAAUUGACGAUACCUGCAGAAGAAGCCCCGGCCAACUACGUGCCAGCAGCCGCGGUAAUACGUAGGGGGCGAGCGUUGUCCGGAUUUAUUGGGCGUAAAGGGCUCGUAGGCGGUUUGGUAAGUCGGGUGUGAAAACCCCAGGCUCAACCUGGGGACGCCACCUGAUACUGCUAUGACUUGAGUCUGGUAGGGGACUACGGAAUUCCUGGUGUAGCGGUGAAAUGCGCAGAUAUCAGGAGGAACACCGGUGGCGAAGGCGGUGGUCUGGGCCAGUACUGACGCUAAGGAGCGAAAGCGUGGGUAGCAAAC
Molecule: ribosomal RNA, 401 nt
Filed under: uncultured bacterium
Lineage: Bacteria
Description: bacterial SSU rRNA
Rfam family: Bacterial small subunit ribosomal RNA
Source: RNAcentral